AUGAAACUCCCACCUUCCCGCCUCUGGAAUUUGGUUCUCCUCUGGUUCAAUUCGGAGAUUCAUAUUCAGUGGAUUGAAUUCGAAAUGAUUCUUAAAAGCAUUUUCAUGUCUCCUGUAUUCAUAAAGACAAGCCUGUUAGAUUACUUUUCUCCUGCAGUAAAUAAUUUUACAGAAAUUGCUUCAAAGUUGGCUGAGAGACUCCAAGAUUUUGGUGAAAGCAUGUAUGUUCCACAUAUAUCUAUAAUAGGUAAAAUUAAAAGGAAAUGUUAACUAACAUCGGUGUUGCUGAAAUAGGUUUGAGAAUUUCUUGCUGUGAUCUGUCUGUCAACUCGGGCAUCUGCCUCUCCACUCUAGCACAUCCUAUGCAGGGCUGCCCUAUCUCAAAAGAGCUAUUUUUGACAUUCUAAGUGGGAUUUGUGCUGCUCAGAAAUGCCAGUGCCUCCCUACUGCAAUUGACUAGUUACAGCACACUCUGCUUAACACUUAAAGUCCUCCAUUAUGUGACCCUGGCUUUUUCCAAUUUGAUUUCAUGUUGUUUUUAGUAUCUAUAUAUCAUAUUCAGCCAAACAAUUUAAUUUGCAAAGCGUGAUUUCUUCCUACCUUUUUUUUGUCAUUACCUUUACAUAGAGUUCCUUAUUUCUACUUUCAUAUGACAAAAUUCUGUUUAUCCAGAACAACAACAAUAUGAGGCUAUUAAUUUUGAAAAUGUUAAAAUAAACAUUUAUGGUUAAUUCUGUGUAAAAUCACACAAGUACAACACAAUUUGAACAACAUUUUAAUAUGUAAGGAAAAAAUACCUGAUGAGAAUACCGAGGCAAUGUCUUUAAAGUAAAAUUUUGAGGGUAAACAUCUGUGUAUUAAAUAUAGUAUCAUGAUAUAAACAGCAAAUCCUGGGGGCUGAUGUAAGGAUACAUAGAAAAGAGUAGAUGAUCUAGAAAUAGGCUCGGUGAUAUAUAAGCAAGUAUUAGUAAUAAACAAUACAGCAAAAAUCAAUGGGAAAAGAUUAUUCAACUGUAGUAUUGUGUAAGUUAUGUUAGUACCUGCUAUAAAAGUAAAUUCAGAAUUGCACUUCACGUUGUAUGCUAACAUAAGCAACAGGUAUAAAGAAUUGCUUAGUAAAAAUGGAAAUUUUUUGAAAGAGAUGCCAAGUUUAGAAGCAAUGAAGAAAUAAUGCAAUCAGAUUUGAGACCAUUAAAAUGUUUCAGAAUAUAAAAAUUAAUAUUCAAAUGCAAAAUGAAAAGUGUCAAAAACUUAUUCUCCUGCAAAAAUGGAGAGCAAAAUAUAUGCUAUAAAAAUAUUUUUUUGAAAAUCGACUCUAGUCCCACUGCCUCCCCCUCCGCACCCCUCCCCACCUCCCGCACGCGUCAAACUUGAAGUGGCCCCGGCCUGACACCAUGGCUGCCCCUCACCGCCCCGCGGGUCUCCCGCCAUCCGCCCCGCACCCGCACCCGCGAGCGCACCGCUCACCGCGCCCCUUCCCACUCCCCGCAGGGCCGGCGCCGCGCUCGCCCUAGCGUUCCUUCCCACCGCCCCCUCCCCCGCAGCGUGAGCAACGCGAAGCCGGACAGAGAGCACGGCGGCGGCAUCGGCACCGACUCCGGCGCGGGCUCGGCGGCGCCCUGGAGGAGGAGGUCCGGACACUGUUUGUCAGCGGCCUCCCUGUGGACCUUAAACCCAGAGAACUGUACUUGCUCUUCCGGCCGUUCAAGGGGUGUGAAGGGUCCCUGAUCAAGCUCACCGCGAGACAGCCUGUUGGUUUUGUGAUCUUUGACAGCUGGGCAGGAGCAGAAGCAGCCAAGGCUGCGUUGAACGGUAUUCGCCU
Molecule: long non-coding RNA, 1822 nt
Filed under: Aotus nancymaae (Ma's night monkey)
Lineage: Eukaryota; Metazoa; Chordata; Mammalia; Primates; Aotidae
Description: lncRNA (ENSANAG00000039193.1)
Source: RNAcentral